UGGACAGGGAGGCCUGGCGUGCUGCGAUUCAUGGGGUUGCAAAGAGUCAGACACGACUGAGCGACUGAUCUGAUCUGAUCUGGGCUUCUGGGUUUCAGAUCAUCAUUGGAAAGAAUGACAGAAGUAUUCUCAUCUACAUCACUGCCAUCUUACUGGUGAAGAGUGGGAACAAAGUGAAAGAAACUGUCAGGCUCUUUGUGACCCCAUGGACUAUAGCCCACCAGGCUCCUCUGUCCAUGGGAUUUCCCAGCUUCAGCAAUACGUGAACCGUGAACUUCCAGAUGUUCAAGCUGGUUUUAGAAAAGGCAGAGGAACCAGAGAUCAAAUUGCCAACAUCUGCUGAAUCAUGGAAAAAGCAAGAGAGUUCCAGAAAAACAUCUGCUUUAUUGACUAAGCCAAAUUCUUUGACUGUGUGGAUCACAAUAAACUGUGGAAAAUUCUGAAAGAGAUGGGAAUACCAGACCACCUGACCUGACUCUUGAGAAACCUAUAUGCAGAUCAGGAAGC
Molecule: long non-coding RNA, 507 nt
Organism: Bos taurus (domestic cattle)
Lineage: Eukaryota; Metazoa; Chordata; Mammalia; Artiodactyla; Bovidae
Source: Ensembl